CUUUUUCUUUUUUAAAUGUUUAUUAAUUAAAUCUUAUCUUUUACUUUCAUUUUCCUUUCAUGGCUUUCGUUUCAGUUUCUUCUUCUCCGAUCUCCUUAAAUCCAAACUCUCACUUUCAUUUCCAAACUUUUUCAGUCACCAGCGUCCUCCUUCUUUCUAAAUUGAUUUUGUAUUUACCGUUCUUUUUUUUUUCUGUCACAGGAUUUUGUAUUUAUCUAAAACAGAGAUUUUAGCUUUUCCCUUAACUUUUUCUGAUAAUAACAACUCAGAAACCCAAAUCUGGGAUUCGUGAAUAGUUUUUCAAAGAGCUUUUCAUAUUACAAAGAUAGGUUGGAUUGUGAGUUGAUAGGAAUUGGGUCCGUUGGUGAUUUCGUUUGUGCCUCCUCUUCAGAUCUCCAACGACCAUGUGUUUCAGAUCUCUAGCGACCAUGCACGUCUGAUUCUCGGGACCCUUGGUUCGGUGCUUAGUCUGACCCUGGUUCGAGAUAUAACAUAGGAAGUUGAUUCCAUCAGAGUUGAUUGCAUGCUUCUGGAGGGUUUGCAAUUCGAGAUAUAACAGAAGAAGUUGAUUCCAUCAGAGUUUAUUGCAGGCUUCUGGAGGGUUUGUAAUGGAUGAGCAAGCAAGUUAAGUGGAGUACAUCUUUUAAGAGUUACUCAAGAGGUUGAGCAAGCUAACCAUUUAAUUGACUCACGGUGACCAAUAGCGUUGUGUUCAAGAUAAAGUGCCUACUAUGAUCUUCAUCCACCUCCUCGUGGUCUCAAAAGUAUUAACUUACAAGAAAGAUUCAAUGCAUAUUAAGCAUGUACAUGUGCAUAUUAAGCAUGUACAUAUGGACAGUGACACCUAGGUGUACACAUGGAUACAUGAUACUUACGUACACAAGUAACAAAACAAAUUCAAUA
This is a long non-coding RNA of Raphanus sativus (radish), 903 nucleotides long. RefSeq lists it as uncharacterized. NCBI's taxonomy places the organism in Eukaryota, Viridiplantae, Streptophyta, Magnoliopsida, Brassicales, Brassicaceae. The record is from RefSeq and is a predicted model, not a curated record. The transcript is spliced from 2 exons.